GAAUUGAUGGCGGCCUACACAUGUGGUGAGUGUGUGUGUGACAAUCCGAAACAAAUGGGAAAAACACUCGAAUACAAUGAAGACAUGGAAUGAAUUUGAGGCUCUUCUUGUGCAAGGUCAGUAAUUAGAACGUGUUGUUCACUGUUGAGGCAUUCUUGGUGCAAGUCUGCAAUUGGAGGAGUGGGAAUAUUUCUCGCUACUCGAGCAUCCUCC
Molecule: ribosomal RNA, 213 nt
Filed under: Percolomonas cosmopolitus
Lineage: Eukaryota; Heterolobosea; Eutetramitea; Percolomonadida; Percolomonadidae
Description: partial Bacterial small subunit ribosomal RNA
Source: RNAcentral